RNAcentral lists this long non-coding RNA (419 nucleotides) under Sphaeramia orbicularis (orbiculate cardinalfish). RNAcentral describes it as "lncRNA (ENSSORG00005025663.1)". Lineage: Eukaryota; Metazoa; Chordata; Actinopteri; Kurtiformes; Apogonidae. The record is from RNAcentral.
UGAACACAGCCAGGCGCGCGUCAACGAUUUCGCAACAUCCACCACCGCCGCUGCUGCCGCUGCCCCGUUUACACGCACGGAGGGGAGCGGAGGAGGAGAGCAGACACCCACAGACAGACAGACAGACAGGCUGAGGACUGCUGCCGUUAUCCUACACGGGAACUGACAAAAAAAGUUGGUGUGACGCAGCAGGCGGCGAACGCACUCCCAACCCGUUCCCCAGACUGAGUAUAAGAUCAUUCACACAUCAGCGACAUCCACAGCAGAUGAAUGACCAUGUUGCCACUGAAGGGCUGUGACGUCACACUGAAGUUGUGGAUGAUGGUGGAAAACGCAUGAGAACUUCUCUGACUUCCCUCGGAGCUGUUUUUGGUUUUUCAUAUACUGUCUCUAAAGAACUAGUACAUAGAAGAAGGGAU